CCUACGGGAGGCAGCAGUGGGGAAUAUUGGACAAUGGGCGAAAGCCUGAUCCAGCAAUGCCGCGUGAGUGAUGAAGGCCUUAGGGUUGUAAAGCUCUUUUACCAGGGAUGAUAAUGACAGUACCUGGAGAAUAAGCUCCGGCUAACUCCGUGCCAGCAGCCGCGGUAAUACGGAGGGAGCUAGCGUUGUUCGGAAUUACUGGGCGUAAAGCGUGCGUAGGCGGUGAUUCAAGUCAGAGGUGAAAGCCUGGAGCUCAACUCCAGAACGGCCUUUGAAACUAGAUCGCUAGAAUUAUGGAGAGGUAAGUGGAAUUCCGAGUGUAGAGGUGAAAUUCGUAGAUAUUCGGAAGAACACCAGUGGCGAAGGCGACUUACUGGACAUAUAUUGACGCUGAGGUACGAAAGCGUGGGGAGCAAACAGGAUUAGAUACCCUGGUAGUCCACGCCGUAAACGAUGAUAACUAGCUGUUCGGGCUCUCAGAGCUUGAGUGGCGCAGCUACGACAUUAAGUUAUCCGCCGUCGGGGUAGGUACGGUCGGCGAAGAAGUUAAAACGUUAAAAGGUAAAGUUAGUACGGACGUGAGACGUGCCGACGGACGACGACGAGGGAGGUUAGG
This 616-nucleotide ribosomal RNA is filed under the name uncultured bacterium. RNAcentral describes it as "bacterial SSU rRNA". The stretch from base 1 to 518 matches the Rfam family "Bacterial small subunit ribosomal RNA", at positions 338 to 873 of the family's 1533-position model. The record is from RNAcentral.